Molecule: transfer RNA, 56 nt
Filed under: Bifidobacterium breve
Lineage: Bacteria; Bacillati; Actinomycetota; Actinomycetes; Bifidobacteriales; Bifidobacteriaceae
Description: tRNA-Asn
Rfam family: tRNA
About the family: Transfer RNA (tRNA) molecules are approximately 80 nucleotides in length. Their secondary structure includes four short double-helical elements and three loops (D, anti-codon, and T loops).
Source: RNAcentral
GCGUAGCUCAGUUGGCAGAGCAUCCGACUGUUAAUCGGACGGUCGCUGGUUCAAGC